GUGUUGUGCACGUGCGCGCGCAACGAUUUCACAGUAACGUACGCAGGGAGGGCUGGCACACACACACACACACACACACACACACACACGCACGCACAUCUCAGCGGUCGUUCUUGGCUGCGCUCUUCGUACUCGAUCUCUGAUUCACGACACCUCAGAAGACGUACAUGGAAGAUACGGCGGCAAUGACUCCGCUUCCCCAGCAACCACCGACGCCCCCAACGGCGUCUCCAUACAUCACCCCCGAGUCCAAAGAAAAGGGUGAUGCCGGUAUCUACGCGGCACUCGACGCCAUGCAGUUGUCGCGUGCCCUACACGGCGUCACAAGUAGUCGGUUGGACCAACAGCAGCUGCAGCAGGCAGCAGCGGCGCGCGGGGCGUCACCUACUCCUGGUGGCGACGGUGGUGCCACACAGAGCAACGCAGUACGGCUCGGGAUGGAGCCGGUAAGCUACCGGCAAGGAACAUUAGCGGAUGUGCAGGCCGUGUACAAUGCGGCGGUUGUGGAGGCUGUACAGGCGGCCAGCGGCGACGCAGCCGCUGAGGCGGUGGAGCGUGGUGUCGGCGGAGCUGCUGUCACUGCGACCGCUGUCGGUUUGCCAGACGACGUGGCGACGCUGCGCAGUGCGCUGCCACUUGUGCACGAGCUGAAGCCGCGCGACCCGCUCAAUUUUGAUGCGCUGCAGCGCCUUUUCGCCCUCAUGGAAGAAGCCGUCGGCGCUGCGGAAGCGGCUGAAGGGGUCGGAAGCGGCGGUAUCACGGCGCUGCUGCUUUCAAACGGUGUGGUGGACCCGGCACGACAGCCGUCGCCGUCGACGGAAGCGUGGGAGGCCAAGUACCGUGAAGUCUACGCUCGCUACACACUCCCGGUCGCCCAUGCAGCCGCCUCGUCUGCCGGCUCGCACAACUUUGACGAGGAGGACGACGACACGCAGCGGGAGGUGGACGCGCAGAACAACGCAGACCUGCAGGAGCUCUGUGAGAAGCUCGGCAUCACCUAUGAAACCCACGCAAAGGCGGUGCGCGACGUUGCGUUCUACGAGAUGAGUGUGUUUCCCUUGUUGUGCGCCUACCUCAGCCGCAUCAACGAGCCCACCGCCGGCGGGCGUGAUGCCGCUACAGUGGCCGCGGUGGCCUGCUCGCGGGUGAGGGUGCUGGAUUUGUCGUACAACAACAUUGGCGCGCCAGUGGUGUCGACAGCCCCGGGAGAGGACGGGGGCAGAGGCGAUGUUGCGCCAGUGCGCCAGCUAUCCCCGCUGCGAGCCCUCGCGGCCAUGCUGGACGCGAACGAGUCCUUGCGGUACCUCAACCUGCGCGCCAACGCACUGGGCCCCCGCGGCGUUGGCAUCAUCGCCAAGGCACUGACGAAGAACAUUGCCCUCUGCGGUAUUGAUCUCUCGGCAAACGCCCUGAACGUGGCAGCGGACACAGAAGAGGUUGAGGACCCGCUGUACGAGCCGGAAGACCCCGUCUUUGGGGAGUCCUACGAGGGCCUCGAGGCGCUGGCGGAGGUGCUCAAGAAGAAUAAGUUCCUGCGCGUGCUGCGGCUGGCUGAGAACGGCCUGCACGCUGGCGAGGACCUGACGGCACCCCCACCCGAGGAGGACGGUGAGGAGGCGGACGAGGAAGCUUCGGAGGAGGCGGCGGCAGCUACGGCAGGGGCACAGGCACCCCACCUCGGCCUGUCCUUUGCCGAUGCGCAGGAGCAAUGGCAGAGCAUACCGCUCUGGACACUCAUCAGUCCACUCUACCGAUAUCAGCGCCUUCGUGCACUUGACCUCUCAAAGAACUUACUGGGCAACGACGGCGUGCGCAUGCUAGCGGUGGCGUUGUCGCACAACACGUCUGUGGAAGUGCUGGAUUUGACGGACAACGCUAUCGGGUAUGCGGGUCUGGGCCACCUCGCUCGGUAUGUUCUGGGCAGGAACGUGGCGGUCGGGGCUGCCUCGGCUGCCGCGGCGCCGCAGAGUGCGCUUCACACGCUUAUCCUGCGGCAGAACCCGCUCGCGUGCGUCGGUGGCGCAGCAGACGCCGCUUCUGGUGUGGACGCGCGCCGCCGCCGUCUUACCAAGCGCCAGCAGAAGAGCGCCUUAGCGGCUGUGCGGAGGUUUGCGUCUGCGCUGGAGGGGCCACGUGGCUUGCGCCGCCUAGUCAUGGCGAACACCUACCUUGGACCGACUUUCAGCAGUAUCCUGCUGCGCUCCCUCGCCCGCGCAGAGGCGCUGGAAGAGCUGGACUUUGCGUACAACCACGCCUGCGGUGACUAUCCCUCCAACUUCGACGGCACUGCUGCCCAGGAGCUCGCCGGGCUGCUGUACCAGCUGCAGCGGCACGGCCCACCGCGGCUGCAAUGCGUGUGUUUCGACGGCAACAACUUGACCGCUGCAGGUGUGGCGGCGUUGAUCCCCCCUGAGGUGCAUGUGGCGUUUCCGCAGACCCUGCACAAGCUCACGCUGGGCCGCAACACUCUCGGGGACGAUCUCGGGUCACUCAGCCAGCUGCUAGCUGCGGGGGCCACCGCAAUCACCCACCUCGACAUCUCCUACAACAAUAUCUCAACUGUGGCGUCGCUGCUGCCUGGCCUCGCCACCGCAACGUCGCUGAGAGAGCUGAACAUGAGCCAUAACAAUCUCGGUCUUCAGGAAGGGCUUCUGCGUGGGAUAACGCCGGCGCAGCAAGAGAUGGAGGUUGCCCAGCUCUUUCAAGGCCUUGCGCAGCUGCCGAAUCUCGAGGUGCUCGACAUCAGUCACAACGACUGGCGCGCCACACACAUCGAGCAGCUCAGCGCUUUCUUCUCCAAUACGACUUUGGCCACAGCGCUACGCAAACUCGACGUGCGCAACACCCCGCACGUCCCGACAGCGCAGCUCAUGACGCUGCUGCAGUACGUGGCGAGCCGACCGACGAUGGAGGUGUUUAUGGCUACUGUUGUGCCAGACAAGACUGAGGGGGUGGACGCAGAAGCGGCAGAUGCGAACAGCACAGUUGCCCCAUGGACGUUCGACUCGGUGCUGCAGGUGAUUCACGGAGUCGUCGUCAACAGCAGCUCGCUUCUGGAGGUGGACUGCGGCCUUCUCCAGAGUGACGCGGGCGCGGCUAGCAGCAGCGAUGACGCGUCGGUGAGCUCUGCGGCGCUUGAUGAAGCCCGCGAGCGGCUCCUCCUGAAUGUCCUCAUGAAGGCGGCGACGUCGUCGACGUAGAUGGGGACGGGGCGAGCGUUGUGCCACUGGCUCGCAUUUCUCAGUCAGUCUCUGUCUCUAUCAACGUGCGCCUGCUAUUCUCUGCUCGCACGAGUUUCUUCACACCUGAGCGGCAGCAUAACCAGGAGGACUGGGGGCGGGGGGAGCGGCAGCGGCGGCGGCGUAUGCAUCCACCCAGCAUCCGCAGUUGGUCUGCUCAGCGGUGCAUCGUGUAAGUUGUGAGGAGGGUGGGGGCAAGCUUAUGUAUACAGUAUUUGAACGGUACUAGAACGCAUCCAUGCGGGCGAGUGCAGAGCGAAAAGAGGUGAAAGCGUUUGUGUGUGCCGCUCAAGUUUUUUCUUGUUGUUGAGGAGUUGCGCGCCGACCGCGCGCACCCACAUUUCCCGUCACACGCAGCGUGCCUCUGCUCGUUUUCCUCUGCGCUGCUUGCCGCCGUCCAGUCGUGUCCUCUCACAUCGGCUCUCUUUCUUGCCGCUUUUGUUUGGACGUUGCUUGCAUGUCAAACCUACGGCGGCCAAUCUACCAUACAUAUGCAUAUAUGUGCAUGUGCGUAGAUGACGGUGUGCGUGUGCGUUGGAAAGAAGUAUGCGGGUGCGUGGGUGUGGAGGACACACGAGUGGGGCUACAUGUGGCCUGCCAGUCUUUUCCUUUUGAAUGUUUCUGUUAGGAGUGUUGAUGUACAGCUGCCAUCUCCCACCAUGAACAGUGCGCUCGCGUGUCACGGGAAGCGACGCAUCUUACCUGCAUCCCCCCUGCCUCCGCUCCGCCCAGCCCGCGGCAUCGACAGCACUGUAGAUAGAGGAGGGUGGGUGGGUGGCGCAAGGCGCAAUGGAAUGAAGAAAAAGAAAAGAAGGGGCAGAGCGGAGGGUGGCUUUCGGAAGAGGAAGCCACAUGCGACUACAGAGGGAGGGGGUGGGGGGAGGGGGCGACUCCCUUCGCAGAGGGCCACAGCGGAAAAAAAAAUGAAGCUGCGAGACGGUAUGCGGGCGGUGCCUGUGCAGUGUGAGGUGGGCGUGCACGUACGCUGUUGCCAGCGCCUCUCCUCUCCUUUGUCUUCUUCCUGUGUCGCUGUGCAUACACGCCGGCACUCCGGGGCCUCCUCCCUUCUCCCCACCCUCUUCUUUCACCCCUCCCUGCUCUCCUCGCCGCCUCUCUCUCCAAUGUUUCCACGGGCCUGCUACGACUUGGGCACUCUAUUCGCUUUCCGUAUCUAUCCUCUCUCCUCGCCUUAUUCUUAUCGCGCUUCCGCUUUUUUUUCUUUGCACGGCUCCCAG
RNAcentral lists this unclassified non-coding RNA (4474 nucleotides) under Leishmania donovani. RNAcentral describes it as "gene:LdHU3.11.1110(CDS-product:Leucine_Rich_repea t_putative)". Lineage: Eukaryota; Euglenozoa; Kinetoplastea; Trypanosomatida; Trypanosomatidae. The record is from RNAcentral.